RNAcentral lists this ribosomal RNA (378 nucleotides) under uncultured bacterium. RNAcentral's name for it is "bacterial SSU rRNA". It matches the Rfam family "Bacterial small subunit ribosomal RNA", at positions 521 to 896 of the family's 1533-position model. The record is from RNAcentral.
UAAUACGGAGGGAGCGAGCGUUGUUCGGAAUUACUGGGCGUAAAGGGCGCGUAGGCGGCCUUGUAAGUCGAGUGUGAAAGGCCGGGGCUCAACCCUGUGCACUGCACUCGAUACUGCUUGGCUAGAGAAAGGUAGAGGCGAGCGGAAUUCCCGGUGUAGCGGUGGAAUGCGUAGAUAUCGGGAAGAACACCUGCGGCGAAGGCGGCUCGCUGGGCCUUUUCUGACGCUGAAGCGCGAAAGCGUGGGGAGCAAACAGGAUUAGAUACCCUGGUAGUCCACGCCGUAAACGCUGGGCACUAGGUGUCGGGAGGCUUGGCCCUUUCGGUGCCGCAGCUAACGCAUUAAGUGCCCCGCCUGGGGAUUACGGCCGCAAGGCUG